RNAcentral lists this ribosomal RNA (497 nucleotides) under uncultured bacterium. Its description in RNAcentral is "partial 16S ribosomal RNA". It matches the Rfam family "Bacterial small subunit ribosomal RNA", at positions 28 to 507 of the family's 1533-position model. The record is from RNAcentral.
GAUGAACGCUGGCGGCGUGCCUAAUACAUGCAAGUCGAGCGAACAGAUGAGGAGCUUGCUCCUUUGACGUUAGCGGCGGACGGGUGAGUAACACGUGGAUAACCUACCUAUAAGACUGGGAUAACUUCGGGAAACCGGAGCUAAUACCGGAUAAUAUAUUGAACCGCAUGGUUCGAUAGUGAAAGACGGUUUUGCUGUCACUUAUAGAUGGAUCCGCGCCGCAUUAGCUAGUUGGUAAGGUAACGGCUUACCAAGGCAACGAUGCGUAGCCGACCUGAGAGGGUGAUCGGCCACACUGGAACUGAGACACGGUCCAGACUCCUACGGGAGGCAGCAGUAGGGAAUCUUCCGCAAUGGGCGAAAGCCUGACGGAGCAACGCCGCGUGAGUGAUGAAGGUCUUCGGAUCGUAAAACUCUGUUAUGAGGGAAGAACAAAUGUGUAAGUAACUAUGCACGUCUUGACGGUACCUAAUCAGAAAGCCACGGCUAACUACGUG